UUUCUGUGUGAAAAACUCCGGUGGUAUAAGAUGGACCCGCGUCUGAUUAGCCAGUUGGCGGUGUAACGGACCACCAAAGCGACGAUCAGUAGCCGGCCUGAGAGGGCAAACGGCCACAUUGGGACUGAGACACGGCCCAAACUCCUACGGGAGGCAGCAGUGGGGAAUAUUGCACAAUGGAGGAAACUCUGAUGCAGCGACGCCGCGUGAGUGAAGAAGUAUUUCGGUAUGUAAAGCUCUAUCAGCAGGAAAGAAAAUGACGGUACCUGACUAAGAAGCCCCGGCUAACUACGUGCCAGCAGCCGCGGUAAUACGUAGGGGCAAGCGUUAUCCGGAUUUACUGGGUGUAAAGGGAGCGUAGACGGUUAUGCAAGUCUGAAGUGAAAGCUCGGGGCUCAACCCCGGAACUGCUUUGGAAACUGUAAAACUGGAGUGCAGGAGAGGUAAGCGGAAUUCCUAGUGUAGCGGUGAAAUGCGUAGAUAUUAGGAGGAACACCAGAGGCGAAGGCGGCUUACUGGACUGUAACUGACGUUGAGGCUCGAAGGCGUGGGGAGCAAACAGGAUUAGAUACCCUGGUAG
This 580-nucleotide ribosomal RNA is filed under the name uncultured rumen bacterium. Its description in RNAcentral is "bacterial SSU rRNA". It matches the Rfam family "Bacterial small subunit ribosomal RNA", at positions 192 to 793 of the family's 1533-position model. The record is from RNAcentral.